Lolium rigidum is the source of this 480-nucleotide long non-coding RNA. RefSeq lists it as uncharacterized. The record is from RefSeq and is a predicted model, not a curated record. Lineage: Eukaryota; Viridiplantae; Streptophyta; Magnoliopsida; Poales; Poaceae. The transcript has 3 exons.
CGUACCUUUAAUCCGUAACACGGUUGUUUAGCUUAUGAACAUGUGGAAGGGGAGGAAGGAAACAAAAAUGUUGUGGUUGAUGAUGCGGUAGUGCCAGACCUUGAUGUACCAGAAAUCAUGGUUUGAUUUGAAGGAGUUUGAACAAAACCAUGAAUGAGAAGAAUCUGAACAUAUACCUGAAGCAAUUCCAGCGGCUAAUCCUGCAUGCCUCCCUGCUGAAUCCCGGCGAGCUCUUCUACAUGCCUCCCUGCCGAAUCCGACCACGAGUCCUGUCCAAUCUGGUAACCUAUAACAUUUCACGCUCACCCCCUCCAGAUGACAACUCCCUCCCCGGAUCACUUCAUAUGGCAGAUACUCCGAUUUCAUGAUUUACUUAACAAUACUUCGUAGGCUAUUUUAUAGUAUUUAGUAGAUGACGAGGGUUCAGUGAAGUCUCCCUUUGGAAAAUAAAAUAAAUUAUAAUGGCCACUUACCUUUAAA